AGAUUCGGUACCAACUAUUUAUAUUCCCUCUGCACCUCCAGAAGAAGCUGUAGGAGAAUGUAGAAACCAGGAUGGGGAAUGAUAGUACAUGGUGGAGAACUAUAGAGACAGAACUGUAAGAGGAUGCAGGAAGAAUGUUUUUCUAAAUAUUUGCCAGCAGAGGGCAAAAAAAUCUUCCGUUUGCACAGAACAGCCACCUCAUCAUAGUGCAUUAUUGCUUUGAAUUCAUGCAAAUCUGUGCCUUUUGCCUAUUCCAGGAGUGAUUUUAAAGCUAAAUCUACCAUGUCAUAAAUUUCAAAACCAUGUUUUCAUCUGUAUUAUAGAAAUAUCAAUAAUAAAUGUUAUGACGUAAAAUAAAAAGAAAUAUUUAAGAUUGUGCAUUAAAUCAAGGUCACUAAUUAAAUGUAAGCACAUUUUUGACACUGACCCUGUUAACUCUUUUCCUUGUUUCAAUUAAAGCUCAAUAGAUUCUUUUUGGAACACUCUUGAAUCAAUGGAAUGUUGGAAUAACAUGGAUCCAGUUUGCACAAACUUGU
This is a long non-coding RNA of Xyrauchen texanus (razorback sucker), 536 nucleotides long. RefSeq lists it as uncharacterized. The transcript is spliced from 3 exons. Lineage: Eukaryota; Metazoa; Chordata; Actinopteri; Cypriniformes; Catostomidae. The record is from RefSeq and is a predicted model, not a curated record.